AAGGCAUGAUGUGGGCAAGCUCGCAUAAGUUCCUUGUAUCUCUCCCAAGCAUUGAAUAAAGAUUCUCCAUCAUUCUAACUGAAUCCGAUAAUCUGGUUCUUUAGGACUGU
Lathyrus oleraceus (garden pea) is the source of this 110-nucleotide small nucleolar RNA. NCBI's taxonomy places the organism in Eukaryota, Viridiplantae, Streptophyta, Magnoliopsida, Fabales, Fabaceae. The record is from RefSeq and is a predicted model, not a curated record.